GUGAAAUUGUUGAAAGGGAAACGAUUGAAGUCAGUCGUGCUGGCGCGAAAUCAAACCCUCUCGUCUUGAGAUCACAUGGCGCGACGAGCCUCAAAACCGUCACGAAGCGUGAUCGCUUGAUGAAAAGGUGCACUUUCGUGUCCGCUGGUUAACAUCAAUUUCGAUCGUCAUAAAAAGGCUGGAGGGAUGUGGCUCCUUCGGGGAGUGUUAUAACCUUUAGCGGAAUGUGGUGUUCGGGAUUGAGGAUUGCAACGGAUACCCUUUCGGGGCUACUCGUCUGAUCUCUGAUCGUUACUCUGGUGCUGAAAGCUUGCUUACGGUUAUCAAAGUUGAUGGUUAAUAAGUUAGAACGGGUUAAAUUCGUUAAGGAUGUUGACGUAAUGGCUUUAAACGAC
RNAcentral lists this ribosomal RNA (395 nucleotides) under uncultured Entrophospora. RNAcentral's name for it is "eukaryotic LSU rRNA". The record is from RNAcentral. Lineage: Eukaryota; Fungi; Glomeromycota; Glomeromycetes; Entrophosporales; Entrophosporaceae.